AGGGGGGUUUAAUUCGUUCGGUUUGAUUCUGUUUCGGAAUAAAUUUAGAGUUUAUUUGGUUCGAAGUUAGAAUCAGUAUCGAAAUUAGAAUCAGAAAAAAAAAUAAGUUAGAAAUAAAAUCAAAAUGAUUUAUUAUUUCAUUCUGUUUGAUCCGUCGUCAGAGUCAGAAUAAACCAUUCUUAUUGUCGGCAUUUGGCUCAGACAGAUAUAAAAAGCGUAAUCAAAUUAAUGUGUCAAUUUUAUAUUUAUAAUAUAUUAGUUUAAAUUCAAAUUGAAAAUUUAAUAUUAAAACUUUACGUCAAAAUUUUAAAAUGAUGUCAAAAUUUUAAAUAUGUUUUUUUAAAAAAAUUAAAACUUGAAAUUAAACGAAUAAUUCAAAAUGUAAAACUAAAAUUUGAUUUAUUCAAAUUCAAACUUAAAAUUAUAAUUUAAAUUUCGAUUUGAAUCCAUAAAUUUAAUUUAAAUUUUAAAUAAAAUUUGAAUAAAACUUUAGGUUUUUAAAUUAAAUUUAAAUUUAAAUUCAAAUUUAUAAAAUAGAUUUGAAAUGCUUGAUUGAAUUUUAAUUUUUAAUUUAAGUUCAAAUUAAAAUUUAAAUUUAUAAAUAUACUUUUUAAACUUAAAUUUAUAUUUUAAUUACAAAAUAAGAUAAAAAAGUUAAAUUUAAUCCAAACAAAUUCAUUCCGUCCGGAUUCAAUUUUAGAUUCGCGCGGUCUCUUAGGCCGGACUGAAAAAAAGGAUAAUUGGGAAAUUCCCAUUCACCCGGGAAUCGAAAUCGGAAUGAAAAUUCUGCAUAUCAAAUACGGACAAACGGAUUCGUUCAUUCCGACUCUGAUUCCAUGGUGAAAAAGGGUUGAACCAAACACGCCCUUAUAAAAUUGAACCAUUA
Molecule: long non-coding RNA, 886 nt
Filed under: Ananas comosus (pineapple)
Lineage: Eukaryota; Viridiplantae; Streptophyta; Magnoliopsida; Poales; Bromeliaceae
Description: long non-coding RNA (ACOM_LNC021842)
Source: RNAcentral